UGUGUGUGUGCAGAUAUGGGUCUGUGUGUGUGUCUGAGCGCCACCCCUCCCUCUUCUCUUUCUGGGGGUGAAGCGUUUAUGUUCUCUGACCUGCUGUGUGUCUAUAGAGUAACUUUAUGAGAGUUGAGGAUUGAUAAGGAAUGAUAUUUGCUUUAUAUAGUUAAAACUUAAGGAGCCUUUGUAGGGGACUUUGCUGAAAAAAUUAAUAAAUAAAUAAAUAGAUUUAUGAGCGUCUUAUAUGGAGGACAAUUAAACUUAGAAUCACUAGUUAAAGUAACUAAUGUUUAUAAAAUUUGAAUAUUAUUAAUGUGAGGAGGAAAAGUCAUAUGGAUAAGGAGUCCUAUGUUUUGUUUUACCUUUAUAUGGUUAUAAACAACAAUGAGUCUUCUUUGGGAGACAAAAGAGGACCUUUGAUUAUAUCGUGGACAUCUAAGAGUUAAGUAAAAUCUAUGAACCUCUUUUCAGAGACGUCGAUAAAAUAUAUAUAAAUGAGAUGAGCUCCCAAGAAAGGACAGAAUAGUUGAGGAAGUAAAUAACCAGUGUGCUGACAGAUAAGUGUAUAAAUGUGUGCAUUGUUAAAAGAAUGGAUUGGGAUUAACUCUUAGUUGUGUCAUACUCACUUUUGUUUGAAUGAGCAGGAGAGAGCCAGAUGACUGUGGGCGGAGAACCAGUGCAUUACCUAACCUGAGCUCCAUUGAAGACAUCGGUGGGUGACUAAGAGGCUACUGUUUUAUCCACAAACUCUUUCACAAACUUAGAAAUUAGUAUUUAGAUGUAAGUGCAUUUAAUUCUAGCUAGCACUGUUUAUAAAUCUUCAGUGUGUGUUCAUUUAUUGAUGAAUAAAGAAAUUUGUAAUUAACAGUAAGGGUUAAUAAGGGAACUGUUAAAAAGACAAAAAAGCAAACUAAGGUGUCAAAUGUAAUUACUCCAGUUGAUGUUGUGCGGAAGAGUUUAUGGUGGGAACACAGCCUGCCAUAGGAGGUAUCAGGAGACUUUUAGCUAAUCUCCUAGGGGUUCCAGCUAUGGACGAGAUUCUACAGAAAGCUGGACUAAAUUGAUAUGUGGGGACUGCUGUGAAUGAUCCAGAGCUGUUUUCUGCAGUUUGAGGUCGAAUGUAGAGAGCAUUGAGUGAUACAUUUCCGACAAAUGCGCAUCCUGAUAAUAUUCUGAUUGAGCCACUCGGACUGAAAGAAAACCCGAGAGCUUAUGUUUCAAGAGCCCUUCAAGUGUGGAGAAAUGUUACAGGAAAUGAUCCGGAUUUGAAUCAAAUGGAACAGUCCAUUUUGCGAGCCAAAAUACAGAAGAGGUUGCCCCUACCAGUGAGGAGCAAACUGGCAGAGGUGGUUGGCCUUGGAAGUAUGGCAAAAGGUGUGAAUACAGAUCAUAUAGCCAACCAGGUGGGGAUGACAAGAAGAAGGAGAAGAAGCAGGCUUUGGUCAAAUAGAGUCAGUCUCUGCUAAAUCAGCUAUCAUCACAACAAUAGCUGAGUCAGGUUCAGCUCUAACUAUCUCAGCUAUCAUUGAUACCUCCAGCUGUUGCAUGCUCUGAUGAAGCACAUGGGUUAGCUUAUGUUGCAAAAGGGGACGUUAGAAGUGAAAUCACAAAGGCGUAUGGGUUUUGGGCACCAUACUUACUUGAGUAGAUUGAUUAUGUCAUAGGUAGGUGCACAAUCUGUUGGAGAAAUAAUGUUCGGAAGGGUAUGAUAGUUCCUCCUGGUCACAUUCUGACUCCAAGGGGUCCUAUGCAUGAGUUGUUGUGGAUUUUUGUUGGCAUCAUAAAACCAGUUGAAGGGAAAAGAUAUUUAUUAGUGGUAGUAGCUUUAUCAGUACCUAAAUUUUGUGUAAAGAAGUCAUAGGUAGAUAGGGACUUCCAGAUCUCCUCAGAUCAUGGGAAAGAGUUUGUGGAUAAGAUAGUAAGAAUGAUUUUGCAAAAUUGGGGAUUAGACAACAUCUUGGAGCAGUUUACCACCCAUAAAGUCAAGGGAAUUGUGAAAAAAUGAAUGCUAGUUUGAAAAAUCGCAUUGCCAAAAUCUGUCAGCAGACAGGUUUAAAUUGGGUAGCAGCACUCCCAUUAACAUUAAUGACGAAGACGAGGAUGAGGUGGAAGAAGAAAGAAAGGGGGGAGGUUUAGUGUUUGGAGAUCGGGAUGCGUUGAAGGGGUGCACACCUUCACGGAUGGACGAUAAAAAUGGACUGAGAGACUAUGAAUAAGAAGGUCUACACCCAACACCAUCAACACCACUUGGGGAGUCGACAUGUGGAAGAGUUUCAGUCUGAUACACUGAUGUGUUCAUAUGUCUUUGCUUGAGUACGUUGGGACCUCAGAUGUGUUUUCUUUUCUUUUCUUUUCUUUUUACGAGUUAGGGAAAUGGGUUUUAGGUUUGUUAUCGGGUCCGACAGGUCGACUAGCCCGCUAACGAACAUUAUUUUAAUUUGUUUAUUUUUGGGGUUCCAAAUGUAUUAGCUUAAGUCACCUUCAUACAUAUUGAAUUUUUCUUUUAACGUUGGACUGGAGUUCCAUAAAGGAGGUUGCUUGUGGCAGGAGAACCGUGAGAGAAUUUUUCCUGUCCAAAUUGUUUGAUGGAAAUUUCAGGAAGGUUGGCUGCCUGACAGGUUUUUUCGCUCUCACACUCCAGACAAUGUCCAGUUGUUAAGCAAAUGUAAUGUGUUAUAUGUGUAGUCGCACUCAUGUUCAUCUUUUGUUUUUUGAGGCCCUGUAUAGCCACGAAGGGGGGAAUAUGAGGUGUAUAGACGAUCAACUACGAACAAAGACCGUUGUAUUAGUAGAUAUGGGGGAAUACAAUUAGACUACACCCUAGGCAGCUCCACAGCAUGGAUAUUUGAUUUGUCAUUAACUGCGCAGGUCAGAACUCAACAUAUAGAGGUUACGAUGCUAUGUCUGAAUGUUGACCUUUCGGGUGAAAGGUCAAAAGGGGGAAUUGUGGAAUUAUUAGCCUUAGUAUUGUUCAUAUUACUUUUUAAGAUGUAUUA
Long non-coding RNA from Pygocentrus nattereri (red-bellied piranha), 2990 nucleotides. RefSeq lists it as uncharacterized. NCBI's taxonomy places the organism in Eukaryota, Metazoa, Chordata, Actinopteri, Characiformes, Serrasalmidae. The transcript has 2 exons. The record is from RefSeq and is a predicted model, not a curated record.